Molecule: long non-coding RNA, 208 nt
Filed under: Eucalyptus grandis
Lineage: Eukaryota; Viridiplantae; Streptophyta; Magnoliopsida; Myrtales; Myrtaceae
Description: long non-coding RNA (EGRA_LNC000389)
Source: RNAcentral
CUUAACCCUAUCAGCUUAGUGCGAGCUAUACUAUCUAUAUAUCAGCUUAGAGUGAGCAGUCCUGGACUAUGGUCGGACUUAUAGAUAGUAUUGAAUGUGUCGACCAAGCAUGGGUCGUGAUGACAUGUAAUCGACUAGGUCGAUUGAUCAUUGCUUGAUCUGAUGUUGUGAAUGGACCGAUUGAUUGGAAAUGACCAUGAGAUGGUCU